AUACAUGCAAGUCGAGCGAACAGAUAAGGAGCUUGCUCCUUUGACGUUAGCGGCGGACGGGUGAGUAACACGUGGGUAACCUACCUAUAAGACUGGGAUAACUUCGGGAAACCGGAGCUAAUACCGGAUAACAUUUAGAACCGCAUGGUUCUAAAGUAAAAGAUGGCUUUGCUAUCACUUAUAGAUGGACCCGCGCCGUAUUAGCUAGUUGGUAAGGUAACGGCUUACCAAGGCAACGAUACGUAGCCGACCUGAGAGGGUGAUCGGCCACACUGGAACUGAGACACGGUCCAGACUCCUACGGGAGGCAGCAGUAGGGAAUCUUCCGCAAUGGGCGAAAGCCUGACGGAGCAACGCCGCGUGAGUGAUGAAGGUCUUCGGAUCGUAAAACUCUGUUAUUAGGGAAGAACAAAUGUGUAAGUAACUGUGCACAUCUUGACGGUACCUAAUCAGAAAGCCACGGCUAACUACGUGCCAGCAGCCGCGGUAAUACGUAGGUGGCAAGCGUUAUCCGGAAUUAUUGGGCGUAAAGCGCGCGUAGGCGGUUUCUUAAGUCUGAUGUGAAAGCCCACGGCUCAACCGUGGAGGGUCAUUGGAAACUGGGAAACUUGAGUACAGAAGAGGAAAGUGGAAUUCCAUGUGUAGCGGUGAAAUGCGCAGAGAUAUGGAGGAACACCAGUGGCGAAGGCGACUUUCUGGUCUGUAACUGACGCUGAUGUGCGAAAGCGUGGGGAUCAAACAGGAUUAGAUACCCUGGUAGUCCACGCCGUAAACGAUGAGUGCUAAGUGUUAGGGGGUUUCCGCCCCUUAGUGCUGCAGCUAACGCAUUAAGCACUCCGCCUGGGGAGUACGACCGCAAGGUUGAAACUCAAAGGAAUUGACGGGGACCCGCACAAGCGGUGGGAGCAUGUGGUUUAAUUCGAAGCACCGCGAAGAACCUUACCAAAUCUUGACAUCCUUUGAAAACUCUAGAGAAUAAAGCCUUCCCCUUUCGGGGGACAAAGUUGACAGGUGGUG
Molecule: ribosomal RNA, 1017 nt
Filed under: Staphylococcus equorum
Lineage: Bacteria; Bacillati; Bacillota; Bacilli; Caryophanales; Staphylococcaceae
Description: bacterial SSU rRNA
Rfam family: Bacterial small subunit ribosomal RNA
Source: RNAcentral